RNAcentral lists this ribosomal RNA (540 nucleotides) under uncultured archaeon. RNAcentral describes it as "bacterial SSU rRNA". It matches the Rfam family "Bacterial small subunit ribosomal RNA", at positions 509 to 1050 of the family's 1533-position model. The record is from RNAcentral.
CAGCAGCCGCGGUAAUACGUAGGGGGCGAGCGUUGUCCGGAAUUAUUGGGCGUAAAGGGUGCGUAGGCGGUCUUUUAAGUCAGAUGUGAAAGGCCACAGCUUAACUGUGGAAUUGCAUUUGAAACUGGGGGACUUGAGUAUCGGAGAGGGUAGUGGAAUUCCUGGUGUAGCGGUGAAAUGCGUAGAUAUCAGGAGGAACACCAGUGGCGAAGGCGACUACCUGGACGAAAACUGACGCUGAGGCACGAAAGCUAGGGUAGCAAACAGGAUUAGAUACCCUGGUAGUCCUAGCUAUAAACGAUGGAUACUAGGUGUAGGGGUUUCGAUACCUCUGUGCCGCAGUUAACGCAAUAAGUAUCCCGCCUGGGGAGUACGUACGCAAGUAUGAAACUCAAAGGAAUUGACGGGGGCCCGCACAAGCGGUGGAGCAUGUGGUUUAAUUCGAAGCAACGCGAAGAACCUUACCAGGGCUUGACAUCCCUUGAACGCUAUAGAGAUAUAGUUUUUCUUUUAGAACAAGGAGACAGGAGGUGCAUGGCC